CUUGAACGCUGGCGGCAGGCCUAACACAUGCAAGUCGAGCGGAGCGGCGGACGAGUAAGUAAUACCUAGGAAUCUGCCCGGUAGUGGGGGACAACGUUCGGAGACGAACGCUAAUACCGCAUGCUAUCAGAGGAGCCUCGGUCGAAUUAGCUAGUUGGUGAUGUAAUGGCUCACCAAGGCUACGAUCCGUAACUGGUCUGAGAGGAUGAUCAGUCACACUGGAACUGAGACACGGUCCAGACUCCUACGGGAGGCAGCAGUAGGGAAUAUUGGGCAAUGGACGAAAGCCUGAUCCAGCCAUGCCGCGUGAGUGAAGAAGGUCUUCGGAUUGUAAAGCUCUGUUGGUUGGGAAGCGUUAUCUAAAGAGUAAGCACCGGCUAACUCUGUGCCAGCAGCCGCGGUAAUAC
This 407-nucleotide ribosomal RNA is filed under the name uncultured bacterium. RNAcentral's name for it is "partial 16S ribosomal RNA". It matches the Rfam family "Bacterial small subunit ribosomal RNA", at positions 30 to 526 of the family's 1533-position model. The record is from RNAcentral.